Molecule: unclassified non-coding RNA, 253 nt
Filed under: uncultured Verrucomicrobiota bacterium
Lineage: Bacteria; Pseudomonadati; Verrucomicrobiota
Description: uncultured Verrucomicrobia bacterium contains 16S-23S intergenic spacer region
Rfam family: Bacterial small subunit ribosomal RNA
Source: RNAcentral
UACGAAGGUCCCAAGCGUUGUUCGGAUUUACUGGGCGUAAAGCGUCUGUAGGCGGUAUGGUAAGUCAGAUGUGAAAGCCCGGGGCUCAACCUCGGAAAUGCAUCCGAUACUGCCGUACUAGAGGAUCGGAGGGGAGUCUGGAAUUCACGGUGUAGCAGUGAAAUGCGUAGAUAUCGUGAGGAACACUAGUGGCGAAGGCGAGACUCUGGACGAUUCCUGACGCUGAGAGACGAAGGCCAGGGUAGCGAAAAGG